UACGUAGGUGGCAAGCGUUGUCCGGAUUUACUGGGCGUAAAGGAUGCGUAGGUGGAUAUUUAAGUGGGAUGUGAAAUACCCGGGCUCAACUUGGGUGCCGCAUUCCAAACUGGAUAUCUAGAGUGCAGGAGAGGUAAGUGGAAUUCCUAGUGUAGCGGUGAAAUGCGUAGAGAUUAGGAAGAACACCAGUGGCGAAGGCGACUUACUGGACUGUAACUGACACUGAGGCAUGAAAGCGUGGGGAGCAGACAGG
RNAcentral lists this ribosomal RNA (253 nucleotides) under uncultured bacterium. Its description in RNAcentral is "partial 16S ribosomal RNA". It matches the Rfam family "Bacterial small subunit ribosomal RNA", at positions 524 to 776 of the family's 1533-position model. The record is from RNAcentral.